UGGGGAAUAUUGCACAAUGGGCGAAAGCCUGAUGCAGCAACGCCGCGUGAGUGAUGAAGGUUUUCGGAUUGUAAAGCUCUGUCUUUUGGGGACGAUAAUGACGGUACCAAAGGAGGAAGUCACGGCUAACUACGUGCCAGCAGCCGCGGUAAUACGUAGGUGGCGAGCGUUGUCCGGAUUUACUGGGCGUAAAGGGUGCGUAGGCGGAUGUUUAAGUGAGAUGUGAAAUACCCGGGCUUAACUUGGGUGCUGCAUUUCAAGCUGGAUAUCUAGAGUGCAGGAGAGGAGAAUGGAAUUCCUAGUGUAGCGGUGAAAUGCGUAGAGAUUAGGAAGAACACCAGUGGCGAAGGCGAUUCUCUGGACUGUAACUGACGCUGAGGCACGAAAGCGUGGGUAGCAAACAGGAUUAGAUACCCUGGUAGUCCACGCCGUAAACGAUGAGUA
Molecule: ribosomal RNA, 444 nt
Filed under: uncultured bacterium
Lineage: Bacteria
Description: partial 16S ribosomal RNA
Rfam family: Bacterial small subunit ribosomal RNA
Source: RNAcentral